RNAcentral lists this ribosomal RNA (320 nucleotides) under Lactiplantibacillus plantarum. RNAcentral describes it as "bacterial SSU rRNA". It matches the Rfam family "Bacterial small subunit ribosomal RNA", at positions 909 to 1230 of the family's 1533-position model. The record is from RNAcentral. Lineage: Bacteria; Bacillati; Bacillota; Bacilli; Lactobacillales; Lactobacillaceae.
AUUGACGGGGGCCCGCACAAGCGGUGGAGCAUGUGGUUUAAUUCGAAGCUACGCGAAGAACCUUACCAGGUCUUGACAUACUAUGCAAAUCUAAGAGAUUAGACGUUCCCUUCGGGGACAUGGAUACAGGUGGUGCAUGGUUGUCGUCAGCUCGUGUCGUGAGAUGUUGGGUUAAGUCCCGCAACGAGCGCAACCCUUAUUAUCAGUUGCCAGCAUUAAGUUGGGCACUCUGGUGAGACUGCCGGUGACAAACCGGAGGAAGGUGGGGAUGACGUCAAAUCAUCAUGCCCCUUAUGACCUGGGCUACACACGUGCUACAA